AGCGAACGCUGGCGGCAGGCCUAACACAUGCAAGUCGAACGAACUCUUCGGAGUUAGUGGCGGACGGGUGAGUAACACGUGGGAACGUGCCUUUUGGUUCGGAAUAACUCAGGGAAACUUGUGCUAAUACCGAAUGUGCCCUUCGGGGGAAAGAUUUAUCGCCAUUAGAGCGGCCCGCGCCUGAUUAGCUAGUUGGUGAGGUAACGGCUCACCAAGGCGACGAUCAGUAGCUGGUCUGAGAGGAUGACCAGCCACACUGGGACUGAGACACGGCCCAGACUCCUACGGGAGGCAGCAGUGGGGAAUCUUGCGCAAUGGGCGAAAGCCUGACGCAGCCAUGCCGCGUGAAUGAUGAAGGUCUUAGGAUUGUAAAAUUCUUUCACCGGGGACGAUAAUGACGGUACCCGGAGAAGAAGCCCCGGCUAACUUCGUG
RNAcentral lists this ribosomal RNA (433 nucleotides) under uncultured bacterium. RNAcentral's name for it is "partial 16S ribosomal RNA". It matches the Rfam family "Bacterial small subunit ribosomal RNA", at positions 29 to 507 of the family's 1533-position model. The record is from RNAcentral.